RNAcentral lists this ribosomal RNA (1845 nucleotides) under Escherichia coli. Its description in RNAcentral is "partial 23S ribosomal RNA". It matches the Rfam family "Bacterial large subunit ribosomal RNA", at positions 971 to 2798 of the family's 2925-position model. The record is from RNAcentral. Lineage: Bacteria; Pseudomonadati; Pseudomonadota; Gammaproteobacteria; Enterobacterales; Enterobacteriaceae.
GUUAUCACGGGAGACACACGGCGGGUGCUAACGUCCGUCGUGAAGAGGGAAACAACCCAGACCGCCAGCUAAGGUCCCAAAGUCAUGGUUAAGUGGGAAACGAUGUGGGAAGGCCCAGACAGCCAGGAUGUUGGCUUAGAAGCAGCCAUCAUUUAAAGAAAGCGUAAUAGCUCACUGGUCGAGUCGGCCUGCGCGGAAGAUGUAACGGGGCUAAACCAUGCACCGAAGCUGCGGCAGCGACGCUGAUGCGUUGUUGGGUAGGGGAGCGUUCUGUAAGCCUGCGAAGGUGUGCUGUGAGGCAUGCUGGAGGUAUCAGAAGUGCGAAUGCUGACAUAAGUAACGAUAAAGCGGGUGAAAAGCCCGCUCGCCGGAAGACCAAGGGUUCCUGUCCAACGUUAAUCGGGGCAGGGUGAGUCGACCCCUAAGGCGAGGCCGAAAGGCGUAGUCGAUGGGAAACAGGUUAAUAUUCCUGUACUUGGUGUUACUGCGAAGGGGGGACGGAGAAGGCUAUGUUGGCCGGGCGACGGUUGUCCCGGUUUAAGCGUGUAGGCUGGUUUUCCAGGCAAAUCCGGAAAAUCAAGGCUGAGGCGUGAUGACGAGGCACUACGGUGCUGAAGCAACAAAUGCCCUGCUUCCAGGAAAAGCCUCUAAGCAUCAGGUAACAUCAAAUCGUACCCCAAACCGACACAGGUGGUCAGGUAGAGAAUACCAAGGCGCUUGAGAGAACUCGGGUGAAGGAACUAGGCAAAAUGGUGCCGUAACUUCGGGAGAAGGCACGCUGAUAUGUAGGUGAAGUCCCUCGCGGAUGGAGCUGAAAUCAGUCGAAGAUACCAGCUGGCUGCAACUGUUUAUUAAAAACACAGCACUGUGCAAACACGAAAGUGGACGUAUACGGUGUGACGCCUGCCCGGUGCCGGAAGGUUAAUUGAUGGGGUUAGCCGCAAGGCGAAGCUCUUGAUCGAAGCCCCGGUAAACGGCGGCCGUAACUAUAACGGUCCUAAGGUAGCGAAAUUCCUUGUCGGGUAAGUUCCGACCUGCACGAAUGGCGUAAUGAUGGCCAGGCUGUCUCCACCCGAGACUCAGUGAAAUUGAACUCGCUGUGAAGAUGCAGUGUACCCGCGGCAAGACGGAAAGACCCCGUGAACCUUUACUAUAGCUUGACACUGAACAUUGAGCCUUGAUGUGUAGGAUAGGUGGGAGGCUUUGAAGUGUGGACGCCAGUCUGCAUGGAGCCGACCUUGAAAUACCACCCUUUAAUGUUUGAUGUUCUAACGUUGACCCGUAAUCCGGGUUGCGGACAGUGUCUGGUGGGUAGUUUGACUGGGGCGGUCUCCUCCUAAAGAGUAACGGAGGAGCACGAAGGUUGGCUAAUCCUGGUCGGACAUCAGGAGGUUAGUGCAAUGGCAUAAGCCAGCUUGACUGCGAGCGUGACGGCGCGAGCAGGUGCGAAAGCAGGUCAUAGUGAUCCGGUGGUUCUGAAUGGAAGGGCCAUCGCUCAACGGAUAAAAGGUACUCCGGGGAUAACAGGCUGAUACCGCCCAAGAGUUCAUAUCGACGGCGGUGUUUGGCACCUCGAUGUCGGCUCAUCACAUCCUGGGGCUGAAGUAGGUCCCAAGGGUAUGGCUGUUCGCCAUUUAAAGUGGUACGCGAGCUGGGUUUAGAACGUCGUGAGACAGUUCGGUCCCUAUCUGCCGUGGGCGCUGGAGAACUGAGGGGGGCUGCUCCUAGUACGAGAGGACCGGAGUGGACGCAUCACUGGUGUUCGGGUUGUCAUGCCAAUGGCACUGCCCGGUAGCUAAAUGCGGAAGAGAUAAGUGCUGAAAGCAUCUAAGCACGAAACUUGCC